This 385-nucleotide ribosomal RNA is filed under the name uncultured bacterium. RNAcentral describes it as "bacterial SSU rRNA". It matches the Rfam family "Bacterial small subunit ribosomal RNA", at positions 30 to 417 of the family's 1533-position model. The record is from RNAcentral.
AUUGAACGCUGGCGGCAUGCCUUACACAUGCAAGUCGAACGGCAGCGGACCUUCGGGUGCCGGCGAGUGGCGAACGGGUGAGUAAAGUAUCGGAACGUACCUUUCAGUGGGGGAUAACGUAGCGAAAGUUACGCUAAUACCGCAUAUUCUCUGAGGAGGAAAGCAGGGGACCUUCGGGCCUUGCGCUGAUUGAGCGGCCGAUAUCAGAUUAGCUAGUUGGUGGGGUAAAGGCCUACCAAGGCGACGAUCUGUAGCGGGUCUGAGAGGAUGAUCCGCCACACUGGAACUGAGACACGGUCCAGACUCCUACGGGAGGCAGCAGUGGGGAAUUUUGGACAAUGGGGGCAACCCUGAUCCAGCCAUGCCGCGUGAGUGAAGAAGGCCU